This 253-nucleotide ribosomal RNA is filed under the name uncultured bacterium. RNAcentral describes it as "partial 16S ribosomal RNA". It matches the Rfam family "Bacterial small subunit ribosomal RNA", at positions 524 to 776 of the family's 1533-position model. The record is from RNAcentral.
UACAGAGGUCCCAAGCGUUGUUCGGAUUCACUGGGCGUAAAGGGUGCGUAGGUGGCCGGUUAAGUCUGACGUGAAAUCUCCGAGCCUAACUCGGAAACUGCGUCGGAAACUAUCCGGCUCGAGGGUUGGAGGGGGGACUGGAAUACUUGGUGUAGCAGUGAAAUGCGUAGAUAUCAAGUGGAACACCAGUGGCGAAGGCGAGUCCCUGGACAACUCCUGACACUGAGGCACGAAAGCUAGGGGAGCAAACAGG